GACGAACGCUGGCGGCGUGCUUAACACAUGCAAGUCGAACGCUGAAGCUCAGCUUUUGUUGGGUGGAUGAGUGGCGAACGGGUGAGUAACACGUGAGUAACCUGCCUCCUUCUUUGGGAUAACGCCCGGAAACGGGUGCUAAUACUGGAUAUUCACUGGUCUUCGCAUGGGGGUUGGUGGAAAGGGUUUUUCUGGUGGGGGAUGGGCCCGCGGCCUAUCAGCUUGUUGGUGGGGUGAUGGCCUACCAAGGCUUUGACGGGUAGCCGGCCUGAGAGGGUGACCGGUCACAUUGGGACUGAGAUACGGCCCAGACUCCUACAGGAGGCAGCAGUGGGGAAUAUGGCACAAUGGGCGCAAGCCUGAUGCAGCGACGCCGAGUGAGGGAUGGAGGCUUUCGGGUUGUGAACCUCUUUCGCUCAUGGUCAAGCCGCAACAAUGGUUGUGGUGAGGGUAGUGGGUAAAGAAGCGCCGGCUAACUACGUG
This 483-nucleotide ribosomal RNA is filed under the name uncultured bacterium. Its description in RNAcentral is "partial 16S ribosomal RNA". It matches the Rfam family "Bacterial small subunit ribosomal RNA", at positions 28 to 507 of the family's 1533-position model. The record is from RNAcentral.